UGUCUCCUCCACCCUCCUCCUUUGGUGGAUUUGCCCGGAAUCUUUUGAUUCCGGGUUUUUUUU
Small RNA from Oligella urethralis DNF00040, 63 nucleotides. It matches the Rfam family "Betaproteobacteria toxic small RNA". From Rfam's summary of the family: Overexpression in amino aid rich medium attenuates growth, suggesting role in repressing amino acid intake and metabolism. The record is from Rfam. NCBI's taxonomy places the organism in Bacteria, Pseudomonadati, Pseudomonadota, Betaproteobacteria, Burkholderiales, Alcaligenaceae.